AUGAAUCUCCAUUUUUGUUUGUAAAGAAGCAAAUGGCUGGCACUGUGAUUUUUCAGAGGGAGGAUAUUGAACAGCCAGCAUGAACGGUUGUCGUAUCUAGGUCAAAUAUGUCAAUUUCGGAAUGCAACACAUUACAGUCAUAAUAAAUGAAUAAGUAACAUCAUGUGCACCAUUUAAGAGUUUGAAAGUGUUUUAAAGUUAAUGAAAUAUAUU
RNAcentral lists this long non-coding RNA (213 nucleotides) under Mytilus galloprovincialis (Mediterranean mussel). Lineage: Eukaryota; Metazoa; Mollusca; Bivalvia; Mytilida; Mytilidae. The record is from RNAcentral.